ACGAGGAGGGGGGGGGGGGGGGGGGGGGGGGCGCUGCGGGCAGCCAGUGACCCCAAGACCCCGAGCCUACAACAGGAGGAACAGAACCACUGAGGCCUUCGGACAAAGUGGUGGAGGAGAGCCGCACUGGGAGAGAGAGAGCACAGAUGUCAAAGCUCAUGGCGGCAGGGAGUUGAACCCUCCAUCUCCUUGUGAUCAAGAGAGUUGAACCGUCCAUCUCUUUGUGAUCCAGGGAGUUGAACCAUCCAUUUCCUUGUGAUCCAGGGAGUUGAACCAUCCAUCUCCUUGUGAUUCAGGGAGUUGACCCGUCCAUCUCCUUGUGAUUCAGCGAGUUGAACCGUCCAUCUCCUUGUGAUUUAGGGAGUUAGGGAAUUGAACCGUCUAUCUUCUUGUGAUUCAGGGAGGUUUUUCAGAUGUUACAGAGCAGGGAGGGCAUGGAUAAUAAAGGGAUGACCCCUCCAAUUAUAACUUUCAGACACAGCAUGAUUUUUUUAUUAAAGUAAGUAGAAACAAGGUUGUCUGUUUGCUUACAUGUUUGAAGAUUGAAAUAACCAUGCACUAAGAACGUGUCAUAAAGGGUUUUGCUGUUUUCUCUUCUAUGUAAUCAAGCACACAAUUGAUUCAUGGCAAAGGAAGAGAGAGGAAAUGUUUGUGGUGUUAUCCCAAAGGAUAUCAAUAAUCAAAAUUUCCUGUUUGCACCUGUUCAGCAAUGUGUGUUAUCACAGACAAUAUUAUCUCUACGUAUGCAGGGUAUGAAAUUACAUUACAAUCGUUCCUCUUUACUGCCAUCAUGUUUCUUGUGGCUUUUUUAAAAUAGUUUGUUUAAUGUGAACAAAACACACAUUUGUUGUUAAGUUCGGUUGUGUUAAAAUUUUCAUGCAAUUUACACGCAAAUAGAGUCAAACUUUAUUGAACAAAACAAUCAAAAUUAGCAGACUCUAAUGGAUUUCUUAAUGAGUUUUUUAUUUUUUAAAUCGGAUGCCAAAGGAAGAUGUUAUUAGAAGAUAAGGUUGGUUGCUAAAGCAUGAUUGUUCACAUCACACAUGUGGUCAGUUGGCUGCGAAGCAGAUCCAUAGAUACCUCAGGUCCAUACCUCAGGUCCUUGGAUACCUCAGUUCCAUACCUCAGGUCUAUACCUCAGGUCAGUACCCCAGGUCCAUACCCCAGGUCCAAACCUCAGGUUCAUGGAUACCUCAGGUCCAUACCUCAGGUCCAUUCCCCAGGUCCAUGGAUGUCUCAGGUCCAUACCCCAGGUCCAUGGAUACAUCAGGUCCAUGGAUAUCUCAGGUCCAUACCCCAGGUCCAUACCUCUGGCCCAUGGUGCAGUGCUGCAUCUCUGGUCAGCUGGUAGUCUGAGAUGAAGCACUGUAGCUCGGGACAGAGGACUGAGCCAGCUGCCUGCUGAAGAGGACGUAUCAGACACCACUGUACCGGAGGACGUAAAAUUAGGAAGAACCACGCAUGUCUAAAGUAGCAAAUGUUUACGGUCAAAUCUGUAUUAAGUGUUCCCAUUAUAAGGUGCCCAGAAAAUGAAGCUUUCAAUAAGAUCUUGUUCCCCUUUCUCCCGGGGUCCAGUUUUCCCAGGAAUCCCUUGUUGAACAUGAAAGCGGGAUUCCUGGAAAUACUGUUCUUGGGGGCGGGGCUUAGCAGCCUUUUAAAAGCACCAUAUAUGCUCUGUGGAGCUAUGGGAAGGAUGAUGUCUUUACUAGAGAAAAUAUCUUACAUAUACUUAUUGUGCUCCUUGUUGCAAGUAUAAACAAUGGAUCACAUUUUUUCUUUGAAUAAAAAAAGGCUUGGAAAAAUU
This is a long non-coding RNA of Gadus morhua (Atlantic cod), 1804 nucleotides long. RefSeq lists it as uncharacterized. The record is from RefSeq and is a predicted model, not a curated record. The transcript has 3 exons. Lineage: Eukaryota; Metazoa; Chordata; Actinopteri; Gadiformes; Gadidae.